This 324-nucleotide ribosomal RNA is filed under the name Triticum aestivum (bread wheat). RNAcentral describes it as "partial small subunit ribosomal RNA". The record is from RNAcentral. Lineage: Eukaryota; Viridiplantae; Streptophyta; Magnoliopsida; Poales; Poaceae.
AUGAAGGAACACUUUGAUGCUCGCAACGUGAGUGGAAUUGACCGCUCCAACCGAUCACUUAGGUCCCGAUGGUCGACAAUCAACUUGGAUUGUCAAAGGUGGGCGGCCUGUCAAAAGGCGGUUGACAAGUUGAACCCAAGUGGCACAAAUGAGGACGAUAGAGUAAGUGCCAUUUCAUCUUACAUGUUGGUGCUAACUUGCUUUGUCUUGCUUGUUGUUGGUGCUAACUUGCUUUGUUUUCAUGUAGUACAACAUUGCGCAAAACUUGUUCAAAGAAGAGGAGAGGAAAACCAAGAAGGGGAAGAUCAAGAAAGGAAGGGUAUU